UAAAAGUUUUAUUCUUGCUUAAUUACUUAUUUUAGUUUAAUGUUAUAUGCAAGAUUUUAUAUUUUAAUAAUUUCUUAAUGAAUUAAUUAAAUUAUUUGGUGCAGUAAUGAAUAUUAAAUAAUAAAGGGGAUUUUGAUUUAGUUAUUUUUAAUAGUGUUGAUUAAAUAUGUGCCAGCAGUCGCGGUUAUACAUAGGACAUAAAUAAGUAUUUUCAGUUAUAUAGUUUAUUUAUUUUAUUUAAUUUAAUUUGAUAAUUUUUGGGUAAAAUUUGAAUUUUUGUUUUUUAUAUUAUGAUAUAGUAAAUGAGGCUAUGAAAUCUAAAUUAUUUAGACUAGGAUUAGAUACCCUAUUAUUUUGGAUUUAAAAGUUUAAGCUUGAGUAGUAUUAGAUAUGGUCUUGAAACUUAAAGAAUUUGGCGGUAUUUUAGUCUAGUUAGAGGAAUCUGUUCCAUUAUCGAUAAUCCACGUUGAACCUUACUUAAUAUAAUUUAAUAUGUAUACCGCCGUUUAUUUGAAGAUCUUUUUAGGGUUAAUUUUCUUUAAAUUUUAAUUAUUUUAUUUCAGGUCAAGGUGCAGUUGAUAAUUGAGUGGUGAUGGAUUACAUUAUUUAUAAAAUAUACGAAUUAAAAUUUGAAAGUAUUUUAUGAAGGAGGAUUUAAUAGUAAUUAAUAAUAAGAAUUAUUUUUGUGAUUUUAGCUCUAAAAUGUGCACACAUCGCCCGUCACUCUCGUUAUUAAGAUGAGAUAAGUCGUAACAAAGUAGGUGUACCGGAAGGUGUAGCUAGAUUGAU
RNAcentral lists this non-coding RNA (789 nucleotides) under Panesthia tryoni tryoni. The record is from RNAcentral. Lineage: Eukaryota; Metazoa; Arthropoda; Insecta; Blattodea; Blaberidae.